AGCCAGCUGGUUUAAUGGUUUAAGCAUUGAACUACAACUUUGGAGGCCAGGGUUUGAAUCCCUGCUCAGCCG
Molecule: non-coding RNA, 72 nt
Organism: Phrynosoma platyrhinos (Desert horned lizard)
Lineage: Eukaryota; Metazoa; Chordata; Lepidosauria; Squamata; Phrynosomatidae
Source: the annotation of a GenBank genome assembly